RNAcentral lists this unclassified non-coding RNA (1124 nucleotides) under Hevea brasiliensis (rubber tree). Lineage: Eukaryota; Viridiplantae; Streptophyta; Magnoliopsida; Malpighiales; Euphorbiaceae. The record is from RNAcentral.
CUUUUCUCCAUCUUCACCACAAGCUGGAAAAGAUGGAAAACAUGAAAAUGGGGAGAUCACAGAUAAGGAAGAUCAUCUUUAUUUCUGGUUCCCUUUGUUGGCUGGCUUAUCAGAACUUAGCUUUGAUCCUAGACCUGAAAUCAGGAAGAGUGCCUUACAAGUGCUUUUUGAUACUUUACGCAAUCAUGGCCAUCUUUUUUCCCUACCUCUAUGGGAACGAGUAUUUGAUUCAGUAUUGUUUCCAAUAUUUGACUAUGUAAGGCAUGCUAUUGAUCCUACUGGGGGUGACUCUCCAGGGCAGGAGAUUGAUGAUAAUGCAGAUGAACUUGAUCAGGAUGCAUGGCUUUAUGAGACAUGCACGUUGGCCCUCCAACUGGUUGUAGAUCUUUUUGUCAGAUUCUACAAUACUGUCAAUCCACUUCUGAGGAAGGUGCUGAUGCUUCUGGUUAGCUUUAUUAGGCGUCCACACCAAAGCCUUGCUGGUAUUGGUAUUGCAGCUUUUGUCCGUUUGAUGAGCAAUGCUGGUGAUCUAUUUUCACAGGGGAAGUGGCUGGAAGUGGUUAUGUCACUAAAAGAGGCAGCCAAUGCAACGCUUCCUGAUUUCUCUUACCUUGUUAGUGGAGAUUCCAUGGUAAGAAGGCACAAAACAUUAAAUGGACAAAAUAGUGGAGAGUCUGCUGGAUCUGGCAUGCUUGAUGAUGAUCCAGAGAGACUGAUGACACGUCGUCUUUAUGCUUCUAUAUCUGAUGCAAAAUGUAGAGCUGCUGUACAACUUUUAUUGAUUCAGGCCGUUAUGGAAAUAUACAACAUGUAUCGGUCUCACCUUUCAGCGAAAAAUACUUUGGUCCUCUUUGAUGCUUUGCAUGACGUGGCUCUCCAUGCUCACAAGAUCAAUACUAAUACUAUGUUACGUUCAAGACUACAAGAGUUUGGUUCCAUAACCCAAAUGCAAGACCCUCCACUUCUACGCCUGGAAAAUGAGUCUUAUCAAAUUUGCCUCACUUUCUUGCAAAAUCUCACUGUGGAUAGGCCACCAAGUUUCGAUGAGACUGAAGUGGAAUCUUAUCUUGUCAAGCUUUGCCAGGAGGUAUUACUGUUUUAUAUUGAAACUUCCCGCUCUGGAC